CGGCGGACGGGUGAGUAACGCGUAGGAGUCUACCUAGUAGUGGGGGAUAGCCCAGAGAAAUUUGGAUUAAUACCGCAUACGCCCUACGGGGGAAAGGAGGGGAUCUUCGGACCUUUCGCUAUUAGAUGAGCCUGCGUGAGAUUAGCUAGUUGGUGGGGUAAAGGCUCACCAAGGCGACGAUCUCUAGCUGGUCUGAGAGGAUGAUCAGCCACACUGGGACUGAGACACGGCCCAG
RNAcentral lists this ribosomal RNA (235 nucleotides) under uncultured bacterium. RNAcentral's name for it is "partial 16S ribosomal RNA". It matches the Rfam family "Bacterial small subunit ribosomal RNA", at positions 96 to 334 of the family's 1533-position model. The record is from RNAcentral.